RNAcentral lists this ribosomal RNA (407 nucleotides) under uncultured bacterium. RNAcentral's name for it is "partial 16S ribosomal RNA". It matches the Rfam family "Bacterial small subunit ribosomal RNA", at positions 30 to 526 of the family's 1533-position model. The record is from RNAcentral.
AUUGAACGCUGGCGGCAGGCCUAACACAUGCAAGUCGAGCGGAGCUGCGGACGGGUGAGUAAUGCCUAGGAAUCUGCCUGGCAGUGGGGGAUAACGUCCGGAAACGGGCGCUAAUACCGCAUACUCUCAGAUGAGCCUAGGUCGUAUUAGCUCGUUGGGGUGGUAAAGGCCUACCAAGGCGACGAUCCGUAACUGGUCUGAGAGGAUGAUCAGUCACACUGGAACUGAGACACGGUCCAGACUCCUACGGGAGGCAGCAGUGGGGAAUAUUGGACAAUGGGCGAAAGCCUGAUCCAGCCAUGCCGAGUGUGUGAAGAAGGUCUUCGGAUUGUAAAGCACUUUAAGUUGGGAGGCGGUACCAACAGAAUAAGCACCGGCUAACUUCGUGCCAGCAGCCGCGGUAAUUC